AUUGAACGCUGGCGGCAGGCCUAACACAUGCAAGUCGAGCGGAUGAAGGGAGCUUGCUCCUGGAUUCAGCGGCGGACGGGUGAGUAAUGCCUAGGAAUCUGCCUGGUAGUGGGGGAUAACGUCCGGAAACGGGCGCUAAUACCGCAUACGUCCUGAGGGAGAAAGCGGGGGAUCUUCGGACCUCACGCUAUCAGAUGAGCCUAGGUCGGCUUAGCUAGUUGGUGGGGUAAAGGCCUACCAAGGCGACGAUCCGUAACUGGUCUGAGAGGAUGAUCAGUCACACUGGAACUGAGACACGGUCCAGACUCCUACGGGAGGCAGCAGUGGGGAAUAUUGGACGAUGGGCGAAAGCCUGAUCCAGCCAUGCCGCGUGUGUGAAGAAGGUCUUCGGAUUGUAAAGCACUUUAAGUUGGGAGGAAGGGCAGUAAGUUAAUACCUUGCUGUUUUGACGUUACCAACAGAAUAAGCACCGGCUAACUUCGUG
This 484-nucleotide ribosomal RNA is filed under the name uncultured bacterium. RNAcentral describes it as "partial 16S ribosomal RNA". It matches the Rfam family "Bacterial small subunit ribosomal RNA", at positions 30 to 507 of the family's 1533-position model. The record is from RNAcentral.